RNAcentral lists this ribosomal RNA (280 nucleotides) under uncultured bacterium. RNAcentral's name for it is "partial 16S ribosomal RNA". It matches the Rfam family "Bacterial small subunit ribosomal RNA", at positions 506 to 784 of the family's 1533-position model. The record is from RNAcentral.
UGCCAGCAGCCGCGGUAAGACGGAGGGCGCAAGCGUUGUUCGGAAUUACUGGGCGUAAAGCGCGGGCAGGUGGUCCGUUAAGUCGUUUGUGAAAAUCCGGGGCUCAACCCCGCGAAAUGCAGACGAUACUGGCGGACUAGAGAUUGGUAGAGGCUAGCGGAAUUCCAGGUGUAGCGGUGGAAUGCGUAGAUAUCUGGAAGAACACCAGUGGCGAAGGCGGCUAGCUGGGCCAAGUCUGACACUCAUCCGCGAAAGCGUGGGGAGCAAACAGGAUUAGAUA